GCCAACAUGGUUUAAUGGUUUUGACAUUGGACUAUGACUCUGGAAACCAAUGUUCAAAUCCAUGUUUGGCC
This is a non-coding RNA of Phrynosoma platyrhinos (Desert horned lizard), 71 nucleotides long. NCBI's taxonomy places the organism in Eukaryota, Metazoa, Chordata, Lepidosauria, Squamata, Phrynosomatidae. The record is from the annotation of a GenBank genome assembly.